UACGUAGGUGGCAAGCGUUAUCCGGAAUUAUUGGGCGUAAAGAGUGAGCAGGCGGUUUCUUAAGUUUGGAGUGAAAAGCAGUUGCUUAACAACUGUUGGCCCCAAAGACUGGGAGACUAGAGUGCAGGAGAGGUUAGCGGAAUUCCAUGUGUAGCGGUGAAAUGCGUAGAUAUAUGGAGGAACACCAGUGGCGAAGGCGGCUAACUGGCCUGUAACUGACGCUCAGUCACGAAAGCGUGGGGAGCAAAUAGGAUUAGAUACCCUAGUAGUCCACGCUGUAAACGAUGAGUACUAAGUGUUGGGGGAACCCAGUGCUGAAGUUAACACAUUAAGUACUCCGCCUGAGGAGUACGCUCGCAAGAGUGAA
This 367-nucleotide ribosomal RNA is filed under the name uncultured bacterium. Its description in RNAcentral is "bacterial SSU rRNA". It matches the Rfam family "Bacterial small subunit ribosomal RNA", at positions 524 to 898 of the family's 1533-position model. The record is from RNAcentral.